AAAAUGACUUAACUCAUCAGUCAAGCCUAUUAACUUAGAUCAUUUUG
This 47-nucleotide transfer RNA is filed under the name Leptobrachella pelodytoides (Thao Asian toad). RNAcentral's name for it is "Leptolalax pelodytoides (Thao Asian toad) tRNA-Val". The record is from RNAcentral. Lineage: Eukaryota; Metazoa; Chordata; Amphibia; Anura; Megophryidae.